This 466-nucleotide ribosomal RNA is filed under the name uncultured bacterium. RNAcentral's name for it is "partial 16S ribosomal RNA". It matches the Rfam family "Bacterial small subunit ribosomal RNA", at positions 28 to 507 of the family's 1533-position model. The record is from RNAcentral.
GAUGAACGCUGGCGGCGUGCUUAACACAUGCAAGUCGAACGAUGAAGCCCAGCUUGCUGGGUGGAUUAGUGGCGAACGGGUGAGUAACACGUGAGUAACCUGCCCUUGACUCUGGGAUAAGCGCUGGAAACGGCGUCUAAUACCGGAUACGAGCUUCCACCGCAUGGUGAGUUGCUGGAAAGAAUUUCGGUCAAGGAUGGACUCGCGGCCUAUCAGGUAGUUGGUGGGGUAACGGCUCACCAAGCCGACGACGGGUAGCCGGCCUGAGAGGGUGACCGGCCACACUGGGACUGAGACACGGCCCAGACUCCUACGGGAGGCAGCAGUGGGGAAUAUUGCACAAUGGGCGCAAGCCUGAUGCAGCAACGCCGCGUGAGGGACGAAGGCCUUCGGGUCGUAAACCUCUUUUAGCAGGGAAGAAGCGAAAGUGACGGUACCUGCAGAAAAAGCACCGGCUAACUACGUG